UACGGGGGGGGCAAGCGUUGUUCGGAAUUACUGGGCGUAAAGGGCUCGUAGGCGGCCAACUAAGUCGGAUGUGAAAUCCCCAGGCUUAACCUGGGAACUGCAUCCGAUACUGGAUGGCUUGAAUUCGGGAGAGGGAUGCAGAAUUCCAGGUGUAGCGGUGAAAUGCGUAGAUAUCAGGAGGAACACCGGUGGCGAAGGCGGCUUGCUGGGCCUUACCUGACGCUGAGGAGCGAAAGCGUGGGGAGCGAACAGG
RNAcentral lists this ribosomal RNA (253 nucleotides) under uncultured bacterium. RNAcentral describes it as "partial 16S ribosomal RNA". It matches the Rfam family "Bacterial small subunit ribosomal RNA", at positions 524 to 776 of the family's 1533-position model. The record is from RNAcentral.